RNAcentral lists this ribosomal RNA (497 nucleotides) under uncultured bacterium. Its description in RNAcentral is "partial 16S ribosomal RNA". It matches the Rfam family "Bacterial small subunit ribosomal RNA", at positions 28 to 507 of the family's 1533-position model. The record is from RNAcentral.
GAUGAACGCUGGCGGCGUGCCUAAUACAUGCAAGUCGAGCGAACAGACGAGGAGCUUGCUCCUCUGACGUUAGCGGCGGACGGGUGAGUAACACGUGGAUAACCUACCUAUAAGACUGGGAUAACUUCGGGAAACCGGAGCUAAUACCGGAUAAUAUAUUGAACCGCAUGGUUCAAUAGUGAAAGACGGUUUUGCUGUCACUUAUAGAUGGAUCCGCGCCGCAUUAGCUAGUUGGUAAGGUAACGGCUUACCAAGGCAACGAUGCGUAGCCGACCUGAGAGGGUGAUCGGCCACACUGGAACUGAGACACGGUCCAGACUCCUGCGGGAGGCAGCAGUAGGGAAUCUUCCGCAAUGGGCGAAAGCUUGACGGAGCAACGCCGCGUGAGUGAUGAAGGUCUUCGGAUCGUAAAACUCUGCUAUUAGGGAAGAACAAAUGUGUAAGUAACUAUGCACGUCUUGACGGUACCUAAUCAGAAAGCCACGGCUAACUACGUG